This 76-nucleotide microRNA precursor is filed under the name Schistosoma margrebowiei. Its description in RNAcentral is "mir-3492 microRNA precursor family". It matches the Rfam family "mir-3492 microRNA precursor family". Lineage: Eukaryota; Metazoa; Platyhelminthes; Trematoda; Strigeidida; Schistosomatidae. The record is from Rfam by way of RNAcentral.
AGCCUUCUGUAUCCUUGUUGAGAUUUUAUCACACCAGACCUAAAGGGCAUAUGAGAUUCCCAAGAUAAGUGAAGCG